UAGUUAAGGAUGAUGCCACUACUAAGUGAAGCUAGAGCUUGAUUCUUAUAUGGGCCCUAUAAUUUAUAUCUGUUUCCAGUGAGUAUAAACACAUUAUAUUGUACAGGAUUGGAGAAAUGGAAGGAUAAAGGUACAUUAGUGCUAGAGGUGCACACCCUUCUGCAUAAUACAAUAAUUACUUCUACUGUUUAGUAGUCAUAUCACACUUCUAAUAUGCAACAUGCUUUACAGUUUUUCAUUCUCUUUGCCCUAACAUAAUCCUUGGAAGUAUGUACAAUAUUCCCAUUUUAUGACUGUGGAACUGUGACCGAGAAAAUAAUUUGCUCAGGGCCAUGGCAGGGUAAUGAUUCAGACCCACGUUUCACAGAACCAAAUACAGUGGUAUAAAUCUGGCAUACUGCACUAACUCAUUUAUUGCUGGUGUACACAUUUUGUUUAUGCACUUACUUAACUUUAUUUACAUGUAUUACCCUCCUUAGUUACUUGUGUGUGUAUGUGGGUCUAUUCAGAUAUGUUUCAUGGGACCAGUGUUGCUACACAUGCCAUUUCUGUAGCCAAUAAUUGCCACAAGGCAGUAAAAGAUACCAUAUUAAUCAGAUGAGGGGUGGCUAUCCUGAGUGCAUUUUUACAUGGGGUUUCAUUCAUUCUCCAUUAAUCCCAUAAACCAGAGUUAAAAUUGCAUGUAUCCCCAAAACUGUUGCUUGAGUUCCACAGUUGCUCAGGUGAAUUAACUAGUGGUGUGUCGCAAGAAGUCUUGCCAUGCAACCACCCCUUGUGUUUUCCUCUUCCCACUUCUUGCUAAGAACAUUUUCCAAAAGUGUUAAGAAUGUCCCUUACUACAUCCCCUUGGGUUGUUGUUGUUUAGUCGUUUAGUCAUGUCCGACUCUUCGUGACCCCAUGGACAAGAGCACGCCAGGCACUCCUGUCUUCCACUGCCUCCCGCAGUUUGGUCAGACUCAUGCUGGUAGCUUCGAGAACACUGUCCAACCAUCUCGUCCUCUGUCGUCCCAUUCUUCUUGUGUCCUCAAUCUUUCCCAACAUCAGGGUCUUUUCCAGGGAGUCUUCUCUUCUCAUGAGAACCCCCUUGGGUUAUGCUUAUGUAAUCACUCUUUUUGUCAUAACUGUUCUGGUUGAGUCUAGCCUUCUGGCUGAAAGCAGGAAUUGUAAUGCAUACCUUUUGUACCUAUGAAGCGGAAGAGGAGAGCAUGGCUGAAGUACAUGCCUUGUCCUUUUUGGAGAAAAUAACUGCAAUUGGUAACUCGCCAGCCACAUGUUCACAAGCAGCUUGGCCACAUGCCUCUUUGCUGUUCUACAUUUGGAGCCUGCUUCCAACAAAUGUCCAUUGGGUGAUGUCAGUCCAUGUGUAUCUCUGUGCACCUACCCUCAUAGCUGAAUAGAGAAGAGUGUAGAUUUUGUGUCUUGUGUGCUCUCUUUGGAGGCUCUCUGUUAAAGCUAAUAAAUAUGUAAGAUCACAUGCCUAAAAUACAAGGCUUUUGCUUUGAUUCAUUUAUCUUUUUUAGCCCAAGUCUCAUUAGCUCUCUUAGUCAAUAAUGCCACGUUUACAAUUAAGAUAUAGAUCUGGAUCCAGAAUUUUUGCAUUUAUAAAACUGUGCUUACCUACCUUCUCCCCAUUGCAUCCCUCUGUGUUCCCCAAAAAGCCUCUUCUGAGAGUCAGGGGCCUGGUGCUUGGAAGGAGAAAGUGGGAGUAAGUAUAGGCAGCUUUUCUAGCAAGACUGUCUCCACAACACUCAUGUUAAGUUUUUGUUUCUGACACCACAUAACUGGGAUGGGGUUGCUGGUCAUACUGAAGUUAAGCUGACCUACUCUAGCUCAUGGGUCACCAAUGUGGCAGGUGCACACCCACUCACAGAGGCUUUCUUUGGCAACUGCAGUGUGCCUUCUAUGGCACUCUUCCUCCUGCCAAAAUUAGCCUUGAAAUAGAGUAUUCUAUUGCAGCCAGUAGAAUAGUUUACAGCGUGUGAGUGUGUGUAUGCCCACAACACCUUUUUCUUUCUACAAAUGUGCCCAUGGGCCCCAAAUGAUUGUAAACCAUUGCUCUAGUCCAGGGGUCAGCAACCUGUGGCCCAUGGGCCACAAGCAGCCCACAGGGGUUGUUUAAACAACCCACAAGCCGCCCCCGAACCGAGCCACCCACUUGUCGAGUCCCCACACUUUGCUAAACCGGUGCAACACGGAGCGGGGACUCGCUUCCGCGGCGCUGGAAAUCACGUCUGCGUAGAUGUGAUCCGGCCCAGGCGAGGUAAAUCUUGCCGACCCUUCUCUAGUCUGCUGAACGUGAAGAUGCAUAUGAAUCAUUAAUACUUUGAGUUGUAACCGGCUGUGUUUUACUCAGAGUAGACUCACUGAAAUUAAUGGCCCUAAGUUAGUCUGAUAGUCUAUUAACUUCAGUAGAACUUCUUUGAUUAGGACUAGUAAACUUCCAGAUUUAUUAGAUUGAAGAAGUCUCUCUUUGACUAUCUUAGAACAACUAUUUGAAGUAUUACAGCAGAUGAAAAUAUACAAAUAUUUAUACAAAAAUAAAAAUGCAGUGAUAUAAGACAGUAUAAACAAUAUCCUUAAAAGCACACCAUGCUGGCAGACAAAACUUCAGGGAUAAUCAACUAAAGAAAGGUGUGAAACUGACCAUCCCAUUUCUUCAAAUGUCUGGGAGUAGUGUACAUUCUAUUUUUAGCUCUAAAAUGGUAAGAGUCCAGGAUAGACUAUACCCAUAUAUUCUUUUCCCCAAACAUGUAAUUCUGCUUUAUAGCUCCCCACAUGGCUUUUUACUGUGUAGCAAAGCCUUCAGACUGUUGUCAGUUCUCAGUCCUGAUUUCCAGUAACGCCUCACCUAGGCCCUAUGUAGGAAGUAAAGGAUUAAACAUCACAUACAAUUGAGAUUUAUAAGAUAUGAAGAUAAGCUUUUUGUUUACUUGUAUAUUUUGUGAUGAGCUCAUGAAGUUAGAGGAGAAACCAGGAAUUCCUUUAUCAGAAUAGUUCCUGAAGAAAGCGUGGUAGGGAAUGUGUUGGUCUUGUACACACGUAGCAGCAAACCAUAGUUAAGGAUUUAGUGUGAAUGUAUGGAUAUUGCCUGCUUUGCUCUUUCCUACUAAUGUGCAGAAGAAGCAGAUAGCAAUCUUUGGCUUAGUAUUGUGCCUAAACUGCAGAUUGUGGAGGAUAUUUUGCUGCAAAGAAACAACAGCUUGCUGUAGAAAGAUUUGUUCUUGGCUUAUUAACCAUAGUUUAUUACAGCAAAACCAACCACAGUAUCUGCUUCAGAGAUACCUGUUAUCUCUGUGUAUGUAUACAGUUCUCACGCAUGCUUAAUGGCCUUAAUGUUAGCUUAUGGGGGUUGCAUGUGGGAAAUAGCAGGGUUUGCCCCUUCCACGUGUGUGUUUGUGUGUGUGUGUGUGUGUGUGUUUGUGUAUUUACAAAAAAGUAGCCCUUUACAGUUUGUGUGCAUGUCUGUGAGGGAGAUUUUAUUGGUCUGCUGUUUACCAUGUUGCUUCUACAGGACAGAUACUUGCAGUUCCAUUCAUAUUUGAUACUUUACAGAGCAUAUCCUUCUCCAUUAGUUUUGCACUACAUAAGAAAAGUCACAUUCGGAGCUCUCUCAGGGGUUAACCUGGCAAUCAUACUUGAGAUUACAUUUUUGCUGGGAAAAUGUCAUAGCAUCCCGUGCUAUGUUUUAGUGAAUAAAUAAUCUGUGCGCUGUUUUCCAGAAGGUACUUUUUUUCCUGCAACACUGUGAGUAGCUGCAAUUUGCACAUUAAGAGUCUAUUUGGUUUUAUUUAUAGGAAUCCUUGUUGUUUGUGGUAUCUUGCAUGCUAUUUUUAUGCAAUAAAUUCCCUUGGUAGUAUCUGUCUUAAGUACCACUGGUAAAUAUAAAACAUGAUAAACAUCAUAUUUACUCUAGAGGAGUCUUAUGAAAAAUAAUACAGUUGUAGUAGAGUAAGCAGAAUAUGCAGAACAGCCAUAUGGCACAAUCUAUGCAUGCUUACUUGGAAAUUAGCCUUGCUGUGUUCGGUGGGGCUUAGUUUUUGUUAAGUGUGUAAGGAUUGCAGCCCUAGUCUCGCUGGUGUAUGGAUGGAUAGGCACAUCUCUGUAUCCUUAAGUGUGUUUUGUUAUAAGACUAACAAUAAUUCUAGAGGUAUUUGAAACACUUCCCUGCAAAUGUUGGUAUUAUAUGCCAUCUUCAGACAUCAUUCAUGUAAUAAUAAUAAUAAUAAUUUUUUAUUUAUACCCCGCCCUCCCCAGCCAAGGCCGGGCUCAGAGCGGCUUACAAGCAAUAAUAAAAACAAGAUGAAUGAUUAUAACUUAAAAACAAAAAUAAAAUACAACAUUAAAAUAAUGGAACAUUAAAAUAUUAAAAUGUAGCCUCAUCGCAGGAGGAG
RNAcentral lists this long non-coding RNA (4391 nucleotides) under Podarcis lilfordi (Lilford's wall lizard). Lineage: Eukaryota; Metazoa; Chordata; Lepidosauria; Squamata; Lacertidae. The record is from RNAcentral.